AUUGAACGCUGGCGGCAGGCUUAACACAUGCAAGUCGAGCGGGGUGAUGGUGCUUGCACUAUCACUUAGCGGCGGACGGGUGAGUAAUGCUUAGGGAUCUGCCUAUUAGUAGGGGACAACAUCUCGAAAGGGAUGCUAAUACCGCAUACGUCCUACGGGAGAAAGCAGGGGAUCACUUGUGACCUUGCGCUAAUAGAUGAGCCUAAGUCGGAUUAGCUAGUUGGUGGGGUAAAGGCCUACCAAGGCGAGGAUCUGUAGCGGGUCUGAGAGGAUGAUCCGCCACACUGGGACUGAGACACGGCCCAGACUCCUACGGGAGGCAGCAGUGGGGAAUAUUGGACAAUGGGGGGAACCCUGAUCCAGCCAUGCCGCGUGUGUGAAGAAGGCCUUAUGGUUGUAAAGCACUUUAAGCGAGGAGGAGGCUCUUUUGGUUAAUACCCAAGAUGAGUGGACGUUACUCGCAGAAUAAGCACCGGCUAACUCUGUGCCAGCCGCCGCAGUAA
RNAcentral lists this ribosomal RNA (503 nucleotides) under uncultured bacterium. RNAcentral describes it as "partial 16S ribosomal RNA". It matches the Rfam family "Bacterial small subunit ribosomal RNA", at positions 30 to 523 of the family's 1533-position model. The record is from RNAcentral.